UACGGAGGGUGCAAACGUUGUCCGGAAUCACUGGGCGUAAAGCGCAUGUAGGUGGCUUGAUCAGUGGACGAUUAAAUACCGAUGCUUAACAUCGGAACUGUUGUCCAUACUGUCUGGCUUGAGAAUGACAGGGGUAAGCGGAACUUUAGGUGUAGGAGUGAAAUCCGUAGAUAUCUAAAGGGACACCAAUGGCGAAGGCAGCUUACUGGGUCUUUUCUGACACUGAGAUGCGAAAGCGUGGGGAGCGAACGGG
Molecule: ribosomal RNA, 253 nt
Filed under: uncultured bacterium
Lineage: Bacteria
Description: partial 16S ribosomal RNA
Rfam family: Bacterial small subunit ribosomal RNA
Source: RNAcentral